GACUUCAAUUAUCUCCUCACAGCUAUUCUAAUGUGCUUUCAUCCAAAUUAAUCUCAAAUGCUGACUAAAAAUAUAAUAAAGAAGAUUAAAAUAGAAUACAUAAAAAUGAAAUAAGUAAACAAAAGAAAAUAAUAGGAUAAUCUUUUUCAUUUCGAGUCUAUGAAAAGCUACUUGCAGAUCAUCUUGAUUCAUAUCUUUCUAUUUUUCUGAUACUGGAAUAAAGCUUCAU
RNAcentral lists this long non-coding RNA (229 nucleotides) under Elaeis guineensis (African oil palm). RNAcentral describes it as "long non-coding RNA (EGUI_LNC018260)". Lineage: Eukaryota; Viridiplantae; Streptophyta; Magnoliopsida; Arecales; Arecaceae. The record is from RNAcentral.